GAUGAACGCUGACAGAAUGCUUAACACAUGCAAGUCCACAUGUGGCGGCCGGGUGAGUAAAGCGUAAAGAACUUGCCUGACAGAUGGGGACAAAAUUUGGAAACGAAUGCUAAUACCUGAUACUGUGAGAGAGCUUUGCGUGCCGUUAGCUAGUUGGAGAGGUAACGGCUCACCAAGGCGAUGAGGGGUAGCCGGCCUGAGUGGGUGAUCGGCAACAAGGGGACUGAGACACGGCCAUUACUCCUACGGGAGGCAGCAGUGGGGAAUAGUGGACAAUGGACCAAAGUCUGUACCAGCAAGUCUGUGUGCAAGAUGAAUUUUUCGGAAUGUAAAGUGCUUUCAGUUGGGAAGCGGUACCAACAGAAGAAGUGACGGCUAAAUACGUGCCAGCAGCCGCGGUAAUUC
RNAcentral lists this ribosomal RNA (405 nucleotides) under uncultured bacterium. Its description in RNAcentral is "partial 16S ribosomal RNA". It matches the Rfam family "Bacterial small subunit ribosomal RNA", at positions 28 to 526 of the family's 1533-position model. The record is from RNAcentral.